AUGGUGGAGAUAAGGAAACAUAUUGUAUAUCCCUUGGUUUAUCGUCUUUUGAAGCUAGCACUAGUAUUGCCUGUUGCCACUGCUACAGUUGAGAGAUCUUUUUCAGCUAUGAGAAUUGUGAAGACAUAUUUGCGCAAUCGUCUUGGUGACAACACCUUGAAGUACAACCUUAUUUGUUAUGCGGAGAAAAUAGAAAUGAGGAAGGUUACAAAUGAUGCAGUAAUUGAUCGCUUUGAGGCCAUGAAAGAACGCAGGAAACCUUUUUAG
This 267-nucleotide ribosomal RNA is filed under the name Triticum aestivum (bread wheat). RNAcentral's name for it is "partial small subunit ribosomal RNA". The record is from RNAcentral. Lineage: Eukaryota; Viridiplantae; Streptophyta; Magnoliopsida; Poales; Poaceae.